Molecule: long non-coding RNA, 4073 nt
Organism: Equus caballus (horse)
Lineage: Eukaryota; Metazoa; Chordata; Mammalia; Perissodactyla; Equidae
Source: Ensembl
CGCCAAUCGGACAGCUCCGGCCACGCCCCCGGGGCGCUAGCCCGCAGCCAAUGAGCAACUAGAGCCCGGCUGGGAGCUGCGCCGGCCAAUCACAGAGGCCGAGGACGCCUUGAAUCUCCGGGCAAGUUAAGUUUGUCUCCGAGGCUCCGAACUGAAGGGAGCUGGCGGGUUAGUUAGGUAGUGAAGUGGGAGGGAAUAUAGUUUGUGCUGCUCCGCCAAUAGGAGAAAGAGGGUGUGUUGUAUGCAAAUUAUCCCGGGGAGCCCAGCCCCUUAUCUAAGGCAGGCCACGCCCCCUUCCCUAGGUCCCUGCAGAAAUGGUGAGGAGGGUGAGAAAAAUAACUGGGAGCUAGAGCUCGCUAGCGGGUCUAAGACUGAGCUAAAAAUUUCCUGAUUUCUUGAGAAAGGUUGGGAAGGGAGGGGGAACUGAAACGUUCAUACCAUCAGGGCAGCGGUUAGGCUUUCUCUCAGCCACAAUCUUAGCUUAGCUGUAAGGAAGACUGCAGUCACGUAGCACUUUGCUUCCAGGGAUCUCAAAGAACUUUAUGCAUCAUUUAUCGUGACCCUUGUUUUACAAAAGACCAGUUACCUGAGGUUUGGGCGGGGGUUAGGGGAUAGAUGUUUGAGGUAUAUUUACACCAUUAAUCGAGUGAGGGGGAAAAAAGACAAAACCUCUGGUUUAGCGGUUUUCUCCUCGAUCUGAAGCCCCUUCUCGCAGUCAUCUCAGCAAUGAAACUUCCUUUAUUUGUCCAGCACGAGAGGGCCAAAGAAACAGGUUUAUCCUCUUCACCCAAAAGCCCUUUCUGAGACGGCUGGCCAGACACACACAGAGCACAGAGCCCUGCUUGGGAAGGAAGGUUCAGAGAACAAAUUGCCUUUUAAAACUGUUGGGCUGGACCUGCCUCUUCCAAAGCUAAAAAUGGUGAGUCAGGAUUUUGGCGUCCAUGCUCUGGGGAGAGAAGGCAGAUGUAAUUGGGGAAAGCUCUGGCUGGCAGGGUGUUGGGGUACAGGCGAGUUGGGGAGCCAGGUCUCCCAAGGGGGCCAGCAAUGCGCGUGCUAGUCGAUUGCGGGCUCCCGACGCGAGACACCCCAAAACCUGCUCCCCAGUGAGAACAAAGGCAGGCGCGGAGCGAGAACCUGAUUGGUGCCCGGUCCUCACCGGUGUCCUCCGGGCCCCGGAGAUAACUUGCUUCACCCACUGGCGCGGAGCUCCGUCUCACUGGAGCCCCAGCUCCCCACCCGGCCUUGGCUGUGACCACACAGGACUGUGCGUUAUGACAUCACCUGUUUUCGCUCUUUAGAACACGAUCAGUAUUCUCGGCUUCUCCUUUUUUAAAGGUCUCUAGUGCACAAGGAUUUGCGAAGGCCUGCCGUUCACAGAAUGAAUCUGUGGAGAUGAUUUAAAAGAACGGUUUGCAUUUCUGUCUUUUCUUUUUAAUUUAAAAGACUACCCUGGUUUCCUUAGGGAUUCAGUGUGGUGUUGUGAUGCAAAAUCAGAAAGACUUCUUUUUCUUUCUCUGGGGGCCACCCAAAGCCUUUGGAUUGCAGGUGCUUCAACAACAUCAUUCUACCCGGAUUCCAGAGUGAGAUCAGACUCAAGUCUGGCCACAUGGCACAAAUGGACAACCCAUACAUUUGGAGAGACUCCAAGAAAUCCAUCCGAAGCUCUGAAUGGUCCUGGCCCUGUUCCAAAAUUUUACUAACCUUCCACAAAUUGGGAUUCCAGACACGUUCUUACCUUGGCCUCCAGGAUAAUGGAAGCCACAAAAGAGACAGAAAUUAAAAUGUCAGCCCAGCUGGGCCCCACAAUGUGGGCCAGCAAUUACAGUGGAACCCACUGCCUCUUAGAUCACCUUAGUGCAGAACAUCUGUGUUUCCUGCAACAAAGAUAAUAAAAUAAUCCAGAGCCCUGUCUUACAUGUUCCUUAACUCUGCGUAAAUACAGUGCGCUACUUAACAAUAGCAACCAAGAUGUUAAUGCACAACAGGAAAAUGUUCAAAAUCAGGUGAAAAGCAGAGAUCAGAAUUCCAGCAAGCUUUGUAAUUCAGCCACCACCCUCAUCACUCAGGACCUAAAUAACCUGAAAUAUGUGAUCGAGGCUGGAGAGGCAAGUAAAACAUGGCUUUGUUAUUCUCUGCCUGAGAAGGGUAUCACCCAAACCUUCUCACUUACUAAAGAUUCUGACAGAUGAGUAGUAUGCCAUGUCCUUGCAGAUGGAGAAAAGAAUAUCCACAGCAAAGGUGACACCUUCGAGGUCAUACACUUUGUGGGAUCAUGACAGAAGUUCAAAACAUCAACUUGAAAAAGACAAGUGAAACUGAGGACCAAAGUUGGAAGUAUGGGUGACAGAAGGGAUUAAAUGGUGUGGGAAUGAAGACAUUGCCAAUCUCCUCACUUUCUCCUUUUUUAUUCUUGAUAGACCCCACCACUGACAGAAGCUGAAGUAAUCUGUUGUUUUCUGGGCUCUGAAGGUGCUGAUUUCAGUGUCUGUGAUGUUACAUCCGAGAGUCUUUGCUGGGUUUGAAACUGAGUGCUCCAAGCAAGUGGAUACCUUUUCUUCUUCUGCUAUCCCAGGGAAACACUGAGAUUAUUUCAGCAAAAAUAACGUUUCUGCCAAUCUGCAUCAUAACUCAGAGAGGCAGCUGGUCAAGUUAGCAAAGAAAACUGAUAUUUAGUCCUAAAGGAGCUUGGUUAAACUUUCGCUUUGUCUUUUUAUAUUUUGAUACAACAGUAUGGAGAUAGGUUAUCUUCUUACAGUAUUUGUCACCUGCUUUGUGAUUAUUUUUUUACUUGGAUGCCUUCUCCAUGAGAUUAUAUGCUUGAUAAGGACAGUUUUCCUCACCAUUGUAUCAUCAAUACAAUAAACAUUUUUGUUAAGAGAUGAAUAAAGAAAGUCAAUGCAGGGGGCCAGCCCAGUGGCAUAGUAGUUAAGUUUGUGCACUCUGCUUCCUCAGUCCAGGGUUUGUGGGUUCAGAUCCCAGGUAAGGACCUACACACCACUUAUCAAGCUGUGGUGGUGACCCACAUACAAAAGAGAGGAAGAUUAGCACAGACGUUAGGGCCAAUCUUCCUCACAAAUAAAUAAAUAAAAAGCUCCAUAUGAAGGGAGUGAUUAUGACUCUGUUCAUUCAUUCAAUAAAUAUUUAUUGAGCACCUACAAUAUACAGGCACAUCUUCUUUCCAGGCUUUAUGUUUAGACCAUUUUUUGAACUGUUUCUCAUGUCAUGGGAAUUCUGGACAAAUGCUGGUGUUCCUUCCUUAGAAGGACUCCACUGUGUUGAGGCGUCCCCCUUAAAAUACAGCUUCCAGAGCAGAGCAUGAUAACAUCCAUUCAUUAGUGUUACACAUUCUUGAAGUGCCAGCCAUGUGCCAGGCAUGAAGGUAACAGCGAUGAAUCAGAUACAGUUUUGUGCUCAGAGGACUCACUGCCCAGAAGGAGGAGGUUGCCCAGUAAACAAGAUAGUACAGCACAGGAAGCGACAGCAGAACCCGAAUGAUGGAAUGGCCAAUUCUCCUUGGAGAGGGGAAUCUGGAAAUGCUUCCCACACAGGGGAGGUGAAUCAGGAUAAGAGUGUGGACUUCUGACAGGUGGAUGGAGCUGGGAGAGGGUAUUCCAGAAAGAGUCAGCUGCCUGAGCAAAUGCAGGGAGGAAUGAAAUAGCCUAGUGAGUUCAAGGAACUGCAACGGCUUUGACAGGGCAGGAAUGUGGGUUGUGAGAUGGGGGUACAAAAGAGGUAUGACCAGAAAGUUAGGCAGGGUAGAGCUUUGAAUGCCAAACUGAGAAGCUUGGAUUUUUUUCCUACAAGGUGAUAAGGAGUCUCUAAUGUUUCUAGAGAAGGGAGAUAACACGAUUAGGUUUACAUUGUAGAAAGACACUUUGAAGGUGUGUGGCCUGGGGGCUGGACCUCUAGGAAACUGAGUCAGGGAGACCAGCUGAGAGACCAGAUCAUCUGGGUGAGAGAUGCAAUGGGAUUCCAUGUGGGCAAUAGCUGUGAGGAUGGAAAGAAGGGGAUGGUCUAAGGCAGUGAAGACUCAUGGGCAGGCUGUGCUGCAGGACUUGGCUACUCAAAGUGGG